This 462-nucleotide ribosomal RNA is filed under the name Escherichia coli. RNAcentral describes it as "partial 23S ribosomal RNA". It matches the Rfam family "Bacterial large subunit ribosomal RNA", at positions 731 to 1191 of the family's 2925-position model. The record is from RNAcentral. Lineage: Bacteria; Pseudomonadati; Pseudomonadota; Gammaproteobacteria; Enterobacterales; Enterobacteriaceae.
UAGCCAUGGGCAGGUUGAAGGUUGGGUAACACUAACUGGAGGACCGAACCGACUAAUGUUGAAAAAUUAGCGGAUGACUUGUGGCUGGGGGUGAAAGGCCAAUCAAACCGGGAGAUAGCUGGUUCUCCCCGAAAGCUAUUUAGGUAGCGCCUCGUGAAUUCAUCUCCGGGGGUAGAGCACUGUUUCGGCAAGGGGGUCAUCCCGACUUACCAACCCGAUGCAAACUGCGAAUACCGGAGAAUGUUAUCACGGGAGACACACGGCGGGUGCUAACGUCCGUCGUGAAGAGGGAAACAACCCAGACCGCCAGCUAAGGUCCCAAAGUCAUGGUUAAGUGGGAAACGAUGUGGGAAGGCCCAGACAGCCAGGAUGUUGGCUUAGAAGCAGCCAUCAUUUAAAGAAAGCGUAAUAGCUCACUGGUCGAGUCGGCCUGCGCGGAAGAUGUAACGGGGCUAAACCAUG